AGCCCCAGUAAACGGCGGCCGUAACUAUAACGGUCCUAAGGUAGCGAAAUUCCUUGUCGGGUAAGUUCCGACCUGCACGAAUGGCGUAACGACUUCCCCACUGUCUCGACCAGGAGCUCGGCGAAAUUGCAGUACGAGUAAAGAUGCUCGUUAAGCGCAGAAGGACGAAAAGACCCCGGGACCUUUACUAUACCUUGGUAUUGGCAUUCGGUGUGGAUUGUGUAGCAUAGGCGGAAGGCUUCGAAGCCACGGCGCCAGCCGCGGUGGAGCCGCAAGGUGAAAUACCGCUCUGUUCGCAUUGGAUGUCUAACCUCGACCAGUCAUCCUGGUCAGGGACAGUGCCUGGCGGGUAGUUUAACUGGGGCGGUUGCCUCCCAAAGAGUAACGGAGGCGCUCAAAGGUUCCCUCAGCCCGGUUGGCAAUCGGGUGGCGAGUGUAAGUGCACAAGGGAGCUUGACUGCGAGACUGACGGGUCGAGCAGGGACGAAAGUCGGAACUAGUGAUCCGGUGCCGGUGUACGGACGCGGCAUCGCUCAACGGAUAAAAGGUACCCCGGGGAUAACAGGCUGAUCAUUCCCAAGAGUCCAUAUCGACGGGAUGGUUUGGCACCUCGAUGUCGGCUCGUCGCAUCCUGGGGCUGGAGCAGGUCCCAAGGGUUCGGCUGUUCGCCGAUUAAAGCGGCACGCGAGCUGGGUUCAGAACGUCGUGAGACAGUUUGGUCUCUAUCCUCUGCGCUCGUCGGAAUGUUGAGGAGGCCUGCCCAUAGUACGAGAGGACCUGGGUGGACGAACCUCUGGUAUGCCGGUUGUCACGCCAGUGGCACGGCCGGUUGGCUACGUUCGGAAGGGAUAACCGCUGAAAGCAUCUAAGCGGGAAGCCUGCUCCAAGAUAAGCAUUCCAUAGGACUACGGGUCCUUGAAGUCCCCAUGCAGAACACGUGGUUGAUAGGCCGGACGUGGAAGCCCCGCGAGGGGUGGAGCCGACCGGUACUAACGGACGAAAGGCAACACAAC
Molecule: ribosomal RNA, 1013 nt
Filed under: human gut metagenome
Description: bacterial LSU rRNA
Rfam family: Bacterial large subunit ribosomal RNA
Source: RNAcentral